RNAcentral lists this ribosomal RNA (573 nucleotides) under uncultured bacterium. Its description in RNAcentral is "bacterial SSU rRNA". It matches the Rfam family "Bacterial small subunit ribosomal RNA", at positions 918 to 1491 of the family's 1533-position model. The record is from RNAcentral.
GGCCCGCACAAGCGGUGGAGCAUGUGGUUUAAUUCGAUGCAACGCGAAGAACCUUACCUACUCUUGACAUCCAGAGGACUUAGCAGAGAUGCUUUGGUGCCUUCGGGAACUCUGAGACAGGUGCUGCAUGGCUGUCGUCAGCUCGUGUUGUGAAAUGUUGGGUUAAGUCCCGCAACGAGCGCAACCCUUAUCCUUUGUUGCCAGCGAUUCGGUCGGGAACUCAAAGGAGACUGCCGGUGAUAAACCGGAGGAAGGUGGGGAUGACGUCAAGUCAUCAUGGCCCUUACGAGUAGGGCUACACACGUGCUACAAUGGCGUAUACAAAGAGAAGCGACCUCGCGAGAGCAAGCGGAACUCAUAAAGUACGUCGUAGUCCGGAUUGGAGUCUGCAACUCGACUCCAUGAAGUCGGAAUCGCUAGUAAUCGUAGAUUAGAAUGCUACGGUGAAUACGUUCCCGGGCCUUGUACACACCGCCCGUCACACCAUGGGAGUGGGUUGCAAAAGAAGUAGGUAGCUUAACCUUCGGGAGGGCGCUUACCACUUUGUGAUUCAUGACUGGGGUGAAGUCGUAA